This 253-nucleotide ribosomal RNA is filed under the name uncultured bacterium. RNAcentral's name for it is "partial 16S ribosomal RNA". It matches the Rfam family "Bacterial small subunit ribosomal RNA", at positions 524 to 776 of the family's 1533-position model. The record is from RNAcentral.
UACGUAGGGUGCAAGCGUUAAUCGGAAUUACUGGGCGUAAAGCGUGCGCAGGCGGUCUUGUAAGUCUGACGUGAAAGCCCCGGGCUUAACCUGGGAAUUGCGUUGGAGACUGCAAGGCUUGAAUCUGGCAGAGGGGGGUAGAAUUCCACGUGUAGCAGUGAAAUGCGUAGAGAUGUGGAGGAACACCGAUGGCGAAGGCAGCCCCCUGGGUCAAGAUUGACGCUCAUGCACGAAAGCGUGGGGAGCAAACAGG